Molecule: long non-coding RNA, 212 nt
Organism: Sinocyclocheilus rhinocerous
Lineage: Eukaryota; Metazoa; Chordata; Actinopteri; Cypriniformes; Cyprinidae
Exons: 3
Source: RefSeq, a predicted model, not a curated record
GUCCUCAGAUAGCUGUGAGACUCCUGGUUCACAAAAUCCAUUCUCAAGAAUGGGAAGCCCUUCAAGCUCUGACGGUACUAGAGGUGUGUAUGAAGAACUGUGGGCGAAGAUUUCACAACGAAAUAGCCAGAUAUAGUUUUUUAAAUGAGCUGAUUAAAGUGGUUUCACCCAAGUAUAUGGGGGACAGUGUUUCUGACAAGGUGAAGAAUAAG